GGCAAGCUUAUUCUCUCCCUAGAGCCUAGUGGGCCAGCCAGGGAGCAGAGACCUGUGAUUCUCACACACCCCUUGCUCUCCACUAGCCCUUUUGUGCAUCUGCUCUGACCAUACUGGGAAGAAAGCACAAGGUGGUGAUGGGGUACAGCCCGCAACAGUGGGACCAAAAGACAGAGCCCUCUUCCCAGAUGUGGACACAGGGAACUAGCGGAUAAGUGAGCGCCAACUCCGGCUUCUGGGAGAACGCCACAGCCAAAUGAGUCAUUUCCCCAAAGUUCUGGGAAACUCAGGGCAGAGAAAUUGUUUAAGGAGGGAGGAUGGAGAGGGGGAAGCGGCCAUCGGGAGGCGGGGAAGGGCGGAGCCAAGGCAUUGGGAGCGCUCUGCCGGCCCACUCGACUCUGCUCGCUCUCUACACUUCCCGCGCUCCUCCCUCUGUGUGGGUUAGAAAAUAAAUUUCUCCUCCCCUCCGGGAAAUGGACUAAGGCGCAGUAUCCUGCUGGGCUUCCUUUGGCUGCUUGCUAAGAUCCAGGCGCCUCCUGGGUGUGAUUCAGUCAUCCCAAGAGGUGUGAGGGAGGAGUCAGUAGCUGGGCAGACCAGACUGUCCGGGCUAAGAGAAUCCCCGGGCGCUCUGGCCUGCGAGCUCUGCUCUCUGUUCAGCAGCCCACCCUCGCGCACGAAUCUCAGCGCACGCUGCUCAGGUGCGCCCCGCUUCAGCCCUUACCCGCACCAGGUCCAGCUUGAAGCUAAAGAAUGGCUACUCAGGAAAAGAAGCCUGAAGAUCUGCAGCAUUCCAAGUAAGAUCCCAAACUGGAUGCCUUUUUGCAGUUUUCGUGUUAUGUUAUGUGCUUCAUUUAUCGUGCAAAUCAACAGAUUCCACGUGGCUAGGCUUAUAGGGAGCUGCCUUCAGAUCCAGGAAGAACUGGACUGAAGUAUCACCUCUGACCCUACUAGCUGUGUGAUCCUGGGCAAUCAGGGCUCUAAGCAACUAACUCAGUUAAAGAAGUAGUUUCUUCAACUAAAUUUCCAUUUAUUGGUGAAAUUAAAAGUCUAGUCCCUAGUCUCUCAUAACCAAAAUAAAUAAUUACAUCCGUAGACUUAUCA
RNAcentral lists this long non-coding RNA (1101 nucleotides) under Phascolarctos cinereus (koala). RNAcentral describes it as "lncRNA (ENSPCIG00000033297.1)". The record is from RNAcentral. Lineage: Eukaryota; Metazoa; Chordata; Mammalia; Diprotodontia; Phascolarctidae.